Molecule: ribosomal RNA, 443 nt
Filed under: uncultured bacterium
Lineage: Bacteria
Description: partial 16S ribosomal RNA
Rfam family: Bacterial small subunit ribosomal RNA
Source: RNAcentral
CCUACGGGAGGCAGCAGUGGGGAAUAUUGGGCAAUGGGCGCAAGCCUGACCCAGCAACGCCGCGUGAAGGAAGAAGGCUUUCGGGUUGUAAACUUCUUUUGUCAGGGACGACGCAAGUGACGGUACCUGACGAAUAAGCCACGGAUAACUACGGGCCAGCAGCCGCGGUAAUACGUAGGUGGCAAGCGUUAUCCGGAGUUACUGGGUGUAAAGGGCGUGUAGGCGGGACUGCAAGUAAGAUGUGAAAACCACGGGCGCAACCUGUGGCCUGCAUUUGAAACUGUAGUACUUGAGUACUGGAGAGGCAGACGGAAUUCCUGGUGUAGCGGUGAAAUGCGUAGAUAUGAGGAGGAACACCAGUGGCGAAGGCGGUCGGCUGGACAGCAACUGACGCUGAGGCGCGAAAGCAUGGGGAGCAAACAGGAUUAGAUACCCUAGUAGUC